RNAcentral lists this ribosomal RNA (406 nucleotides) under uncultured bacterium. RNAcentral describes it as "partial 16S ribosomal RNA". It matches the Rfam family "Bacterial small subunit ribosomal RNA", at positions 30 to 526 of the family's 1533-position model. The record is from RNAcentral.
AUUGAACGCUGGCGGCAGGCUUAACACAUGCAAGUCGAUCGAGCGGCGGCCGGGUGAUUAAUGUCUGGGAAACUUCCUGAUGGAUGGGGAUAACUACUGGAAACUGUAGCUAAUACCGCAUACCAUCAGAUGUGCCCAUAUGGGAUUAGCUAGUAGGGGGGGUAAUGGCUCGCCUAGGCGACGUUCCCUAGCUGGUCUGAGAGGAUGACCAGCCACACUGGAACUGAGACACGGUCCAGACUCCUACGGGAGGCAGCAGUGGGGAAUAUUGCACAAUGGGCGCAAGCCUGAUGCAGCCAUGCCGCGUGUGUGAAGAAGGCCUUCGGGUUGUAAAGCACUUUCAGCGAGGAGGCGUUACUCGCAGAAGAAGCACCGGCUAACUCCGUGCCAGCAGCCGCGGUAAUUC